Molecule: ribosomal RNA, 497 nt
Filed under: uncultured bacterium
Lineage: Bacteria
Description: partial 16S ribosomal RNA
Rfam family: Bacterial small subunit ribosomal RNA
Source: RNAcentral
GAUGAACGCUGGCGGCGUGCCUAAUACAUGCAAGUCGAGCGAACGGACGAGAAGCUUGCUUCUCUGAUGUUAGCGGCGGACGGGUGAGUAACACGUGGAUAACCUACCUAUAAGACUGGGAUAACUUCGGGAAACCGGAGCUAAUACCGGAUGAUAUUUUGAACCGCAUGGUUCAAAAGUGAAAGACGGUCUUGCUGUCACUUAUAGAUGGAUCCGCGCUGCAUUAGCUAGUUGGUAAGGUAACGGCUUACCAAGGCAACGAUGCAUAGCCGACCUGAGGGGGUGAUCGGCCACACUGGAACUGAGACACGGUCCAGACUCCUACGGGAGGCAGCAGUAGGGAAUCUUCCGCAAUGGGCGAAAGCCUGACGGAGCAACGCCGCGUGAGUGAUGAAGGUCUUCGGAUCGUAAAACUCUGUUAUUAGGGAAGAACAAAUGUGUAAGUAACUGUGCACAUCUUGACGGUACCUAAUCAGAAAGCCACGGCUAACUACGUG